RNAcentral lists this ribosomal RNA (1191 nucleotides) under Spirostomum sp. Its description in RNAcentral is "SSU rRNA". It matches the Rfam family "Bacterial small subunit ribosomal RNA", at positions 524 to 1488 of the family's 1533-position model. Lineage: Eukaryota; Ciliophora; Heterotrichea; Heterotrichida; Spirostomidae. The record is from RNAcentral.
UACGUUGACGGGGGAGCGUUACUGGCCGUUACUAGGCGUAAAGUGUGGCUAGACGGUUUAAGAAUUUUUAGAUGAAAUAAAAGUGUCGACGAAAAACUCUUUAAAACCUUAAUACUAAAUGAGAUGGAAGGAAGUUAACAAUAUGUAUAACCUAGAGAUAAAAUUCUGACAGGUUAUAAAGAUUCUCGAAGGCCUCGGCAGUUAACUACUUUUAUUCUGACGUUGAACCACUAAAGUAUGGAUAUCGAAUAGGAUUGGAGACCCUAGUAGUCCAUACCCUGAAUCAAUGGGCAUCAUAUGUGGGGAGAAUAUUCCUCGUGUAUAAGCUAACGCGUGAAUGCCUCGCCUGGGGAGUAAAGCUGCAAAGGUAAAACUUAAAAAGAUUGGCGGGAGUUUGUAUGAACGGUGGAGCGUGUGGUUUAAUUCGAUAAUCCACGGUUAAUCUUACCAACGUAUUGAAAAAAAGCGACGAUAAAUUUAGUGAGAAUUUGCGAACUUUUUUUAAGUGGUACUGCAUGGCUGUCGUCAGUUCGUGUUGUAGAAUGUCAUAUUCAGUUAUUCAACGAACGUAACCUUUACUAUAAAUUUCAUAUCAAUUUUCUGUUAAAGAUACUUGGAAACUAGGAAACUAGCUACACGCUUAAUAGAAUUCGGUAUUAUUUAUUUUACUAUAAAGCGGGUUUUUAUUGUGUAACUUUCGGUUUUCGUUGUCCACCGUUUUAGGUGAAAGUGUGAAAAACUUUUAAUGGGCAUAUAGAAUGGGGAAUUACAUUUUUAACCUGUUUUGUGGAGGUGAAGUAGAAGUCAAGUCAUUAUGGUCUAAAUAUUUUGGGCUACACAUGCGCUACAAGGGUAAAAACAGAAAGAUGCGAAGGUGUGAACUCAAGCAAAUCUUAAAAAAUUAUCACAGUUCGGAUUGUAGACUGAAACUCGUCUACAUGAAGUCGGAAUCGUUAGUAAUCGUGAAUUAUUAUGUUACGGUGAAUGAUCUAUCAAACUUUGCACACACCGCCCAUCACGCCCGAAGAGUUGUAUCGGCUGGAAACCUUAUUUUUGGUUACAAAAAGCGUUAAAAGUUUUUUUCGAAAAAUGCACAACAUGUUGUGAACUCCUUUAUUUAGAGCAUGAAAUAUUGCUAAGAUUGUAUACUUUUGGUGGGUUAAAGACGGUAUGGUAACUUGGGCGAAGUUG